Long non-coding RNA from Rhododendron vialii, 398 nucleotides. RefSeq lists it as uncharacterized. Lineage: Eukaryota; Viridiplantae; Streptophyta; Magnoliopsida; Ericales; Ericaceae. The transcript is spliced from 2 exons. The record is from RefSeq and is a predicted model, not a curated record.
UCAAGUGUUCUAGAGCUUGGAAAUUCGUGGGUUUGAGCUCGGAGAGGAGUAUUCGGAUGAUUCGAAGUUUUCGGAGCUAGGGCUUGCUUGGUUGGGCUUGGAUUUCGUUCUUCGACUUCGAGGUGUGAACCCGGAGCAGUAGAAUGGAGCGAAGUGCAUGCAUUCAAGUGCAUAUUUUCAAAAGAAGUGGCCAAAGAGACUCAUGGACGUUUGAUAAAACAUGUUUUGGGAAUGUAAUAGCACCUUAACUCUAUUUCUUUUUAUGAUAUAAUGUAUUCAAACUCUUGGAGUUGGAUCUGUAAUUUAAUGAUUAGAACAUGGUGAACUCUUUUAGGGUAUUAUGUAAGAUAAUGCGAGGAGUUUUAUUUUUGAAAAACUAUCUUUAUUUAUGUUAAAAA